AGAGUUUGAUUCUGGCUCAGGACGAACGCUGGCGGCGUGCCUAACACAUGCAAGUCGGACGGAAAAUUGAGCUUCGGUUCAAUUUUUAGUGGCGAACGGGUGAGUAACGCGUAGGUAACCUGCCUUGUAGCGGGGGAUAACUAUUGGAAACGAUAGCUAAUACCGCAUAACAAUGGAUGACACAUGUCAUUUAUUUGAAAGGGGCAAUUGCUCCACUACAAGAUGGACCUGCGUUGUAUUAGCUAGUAGGUGAGGUAACGGCUCACCUAGGCGACGAUACAUAGCCGACCUGAGAGGGUGAUCGGCCACACUGGGACUGAGACACGGCCCAG
RNAcentral lists this ribosomal RNA (332 nucleotides) under uncultured bacterium. Its description in RNAcentral is "bacterial SSU rRNA". It matches the Rfam family "Bacterial small subunit ribosomal RNA", at positions 8 to 334 of the family's 1533-position model. The record is from RNAcentral.